UCACAGUAAAACUGUAACUUAGCGGGUACAGCCUCAGUGUUCACAGUAAAGCAGGUACAGCCUCAGUGUUCACAGUAAAGCAGGUACAGCCUCAGUGUUCACAGUAAAGCAGGUACAGCCUCAGUGUUCACAGUAAAGCAGGUACAGCCUCAGUGUUCACAGUAAAGCAGGUACAGCCUCAGUGUUCACAGUAAAGCAGGUACAGCCUCAGUGUUCACAGUAAAGCAGGUACAGCCUCAGUGUUCACAGUAAAGCAGGUACAGCCUCAGUGUUCACAGUAAAGCAGGUACAGCCUCAGUGUUCACAGUAAAGCAGGUACAGCCUCAGUGUUCACAGUAAAACUGUAACUUAAAGCAGGUACAGCCUCAGUGUUCACAGUAAAGCAGGUACAGCCUCAGUGUUCACAG
Molecule: long non-coding RNA, 407 nt
Organism: Oncorhynchus keta (chum salmon)
Lineage: Eukaryota; Metazoa; Chordata; Actinopteri; Salmoniformes; Salmonidae
Exons: 5
Source: RefSeq, a predicted model, not a curated record